This 459-nucleotide ribosomal RNA is filed under the name uncultured bacterium. RNAcentral describes it as "partial 16S ribosomal RNA". It matches the Rfam family "Bacterial small subunit ribosomal RNA", at positions 338 to 795 of the family's 1533-position model. The record is from RNAcentral.
CCUACGUGUGGCAGCAGUGAGGAAUAUUGGUCAAUGGGCGGGAGCCUGAACCAGCCAAGUCGCGUGAAGGACGGAGGUACUUAGUAUUGUAACCUUCUUUUGUCGGGGAACAUAGGCGGAGACGCGUCUCCGGCUGAGUGUCCCCGCAGAAAAAGCAUCGGCUAACUCCGUGCCAGCAGCCGCGGUAUUAGGGAGGAUGCGAGCGUUUUCCGGAUUUAUUGGGUUUAAAGGGUGCGCAGGGGGGAGAUCAAGUCAGCGGUAAAAUGUCGGGGCUCAACCCCGGCCGGCCGUUGAGACGGGUUUUCUAGAGUGGGAGAGAAGUAUGCGGAAUGCGUGGUGUAGCGGUGAAAUGCAUAGAUAUCACGAAGAACUCCGAUUGCGAAGGCAGCAUACCGGUUCGAGACUGACGCUGAUGCACGAAAGCGUGGGGAUCGAACAGGAUUAGAUACCCUUGUAGUC